GAGGCGACGAUGCGUAGGGGUUCUGAGAGGAAGGCCCCCCACACUGGUACUGAGACACGGACCAGACUCCUACGGGAGGCAGCAGUGAGGAAUAUUGGUCAAUGGGCGCGAGCCUGAACCAGCCAAGUCGCGUGAGGGAGGACGGCCCUACGGGUUGUAAACCUCUUUUGCCGGGGAGCAACGGGCGUCACGUGUGGCGCCACUGAGAGUACCCGGAGAAAAAGCAUCGGCUAACUCCGUGCCAGCAGCCGCGGUAAUACGGAGGAUGCGAGCGUUAUCCGGAUUUAUUGGGUUUAAAGGGUGCGUAGGCGGAUCGUUAAGUCAGUGGUCAAAUUGAGGGGCUCAACCCCUUCCCGCCAUUGAAACUGGCGAUCUUGAGUGGAAGAGAAGUAUGCGGAAUGCGUGGUGUAGCGGUGAAAUGCAUAGAUAUCACGCAGAACCCCGAUUGCGAAGGCAGCAUGCCGGCUUCCGACUGACGCUGAAGCACGAAAGCGUGGGGAUCGAACAGGAUUAGAUACCCUGGUAGUCCACGCGGUAAACGAUGAGCGCUAGGUGUCCGGGGGGAAUGGCCCCUGG
Molecule: ribosomal RNA, 576 nt
Filed under: uncultured bacterium
Lineage: Bacteria
Description: bacterial SSU rRNA
Rfam family: Bacterial small subunit ribosomal RNA
Source: RNAcentral